This 253-nucleotide ribosomal RNA is filed under the name uncultured bacterium. RNAcentral describes it as "partial 16S ribosomal RNA". It matches the Rfam family "Bacterial small subunit ribosomal RNA", at positions 524 to 776 of the family's 1533-position model. The record is from RNAcentral.
UACGUAGGGUGGAAGCGUUAGGCGGAAUCACUGGGCUUAAAGCGUGUGUAGGCGGACUUGUAAGUACCUUGUGAAAUCCCACGGCUCAACCGUGGAACUGCUUGGUAUACUGCUUGUCUUGAGCCACUUAGGGGCUACCGGAACAAAUGGUGGAGCGGUGAAAUGCGUAGAUAUCAUUUGGAACGCCAAUGGUGAAAACAGGUAGCUGGGGAUGUGCUGACGCUGAGACACGAAAGCCAGGGGAGCGAUCGGG